RNAcentral lists this ribosomal RNA (459 nucleotides) under uncultured bacterium. RNAcentral describes it as "partial 16S ribosomal RNA". It matches the Rfam family "Bacterial small subunit ribosomal RNA", at positions 338 to 795 of the family's 1533-position model. The record is from RNAcentral.
CCUACGGGAGGCAGCAGUGAGGAAUAUUGGUCAAUGGCCGAGAGGCUGAACCAGCCAAGUCGCGUGAGGGAAGACGGCCCUACGGGUUGUAAACCUCUUUUGUCGGGGAGCCAAGCGAGUCACGUGUGACUCAUUGAGAGUACCCGAAGAAAAAGCAUCGGCUAACUCCGUGCCAGCAGCCGCGGUAAUACGGAGGAGGCGAGCGUUAUCCGGAUUUAUGGGGUUUAAAGGGUGCGAAGGCGGAGGUGCAAGUCAGCGGUCACAUUGCGGGGCUCAACCCCGUACUGCCGUUGAAACUGCAGCCCUUGAGUGCGCGAGAAGUAUGCGGAAUGCGUGGGGUAGCGGUGAAAUGCAGAGAUAUCACGCAGAACUCCGAUUGCGAAGGCAGCAUACCGGCGCGCAACUGACGCUCAUGCACGAAAGCGUGGGUAUCGAACAGGAUUAGAUACCCUGGUAGUC